Molecule: ribosomal RNA, 253 nt
Filed under: uncultured bacterium
Lineage: Bacteria
Description: partial 16S ribosomal RNA
Rfam family: Bacterial small subunit ribosomal RNA
Source: RNAcentral
GACGAACUGUGCAAACGUUAUUCGGAAUCACUGGGCUUAAAGGGUGCGUAGGCGGGUUAUUAAGUCAGUGGUGAAAGCCUACAGCUUAACUGUAGAAUUGCCAUUGAUACUGAUGAUCUUGAGUAUGAUUGAGGUGGGCGGAAUGUGUCAUGUAGCGGUGAAAUGCUUAGAUAUGACAUAGAACACCGAUUGCGAAGGCAGCUCGCUAAACUUAUAUUGACGCUGAGGCACGAAAGCGUGGGGAUCAAACAGG